AGACAGGCCUGAUGAACAAAGCGCAGGGUCCCUGUGCAGCGACAUGGUGUGAUGAGGGGACUUUCAUCAUCGCCCUCACAGUGACAGAUCCUGACAGGAAGGACAGCAAGACUUUCUGUCUGUUGAUUGUGUGAGCACUCCUCUACCUGAAUAUUUCAGAAUAUGCGAGAUCACGAAUUUGAAGAAAAACUCACCACAGAUCAUGAAUCAAUUAGGUGCAACGACCUGUUCUGAAAACCAGAAACUACGGCCUAUACUGAAUUGGUAGUAAUGCUGCCUAAACGAGCAUAUUAACACUGGUUGUUCAAAGCACAUCUCCACUGAUAGUGAGCCUGGGGGCUUUCAACUUUCUUCAGUUAAACAUGUCUGCCUGAAAAGUUUGCAUGCACACCCAAAAGGCUCAUCCUUGAAAAAAAGCCUGACAAACAGUGCCUGAAUAAUUAUAAUAAAAU
Lepidothrix coronata (blue-crowned manakin) is the source of this 452-nucleotide long non-coding RNA. RefSeq lists it as uncharacterized. The record is from RefSeq and is a predicted model, not a curated record. The transcript has 3 exons. NCBI's taxonomy places the organism in Eukaryota, Metazoa, Chordata, Aves, Passeriformes, Pipridae.